AUGUAUGUGGAAGAAGAGCUCCACUGGCAUCAACUCUCUAAUGAGAGGUGGUUAUUGAAAGGGGACAACAACACUGAUUUUUUUCAUAAAGUGGCGAAUGGUCGUCGUAGAAAAAAUUCCAUGAUUUCCCUGGAGUGUGGGUCCACUCUUAUUGAAGGUACUAAAAAUUUACUUGCCCAUGCCACUGAGUAUUAUAAAACCCUGUUUGGUCCGGCUCCUGGCAACAUGUGUCAGAUUGAUGCCUCUUUGUGGUCUCAGGACGAGUUGAUUACUCCAGCGGACAAUGAGGACUUGACCCGUCCUUUCUCGUUGGAGGAAAUAAAAAAUGCUCUGUUCGACAUGAAAUCUAACCGUGCCCCUGGUCCAGACGAUAUUCCUGCUGAAUUUUAUCAACACUGC
RNAcentral lists this ribosomal RNA (399 nucleotides) under Triticum aestivum (bread wheat). Its description in RNAcentral is "partial small subunit ribosomal RNA". Lineage: Eukaryota; Viridiplantae; Streptophyta; Magnoliopsida; Poales; Poaceae. The record is from RNAcentral.